GAUCUAUGACGUCACAUGUUUGCUGCUGAGCUACCUAGCAAUCAGCAAUGGCGGAGAUGUCAGCAUGUUAUCAUUGGAUGACAACACGAUUGAUAAAUGUAUAAGAUUAUUAGUAACGAUAUGCAUUUGUUUGUUGGUCAGCACAUGGUUCGAAUUGCCUUCUUUCUACUGGUACCUCACUUGUGUGGAGCCCGACCUGGGAUAUUACAAGAGCGUUGUUACUUAUUUUAUGGAUGUGAGAGUUAAGAGGAUAUGUCCAACUCGAGCUGAAAUAAUAAAGGACAUUGUGUACAAUGCAUUCUUUGCCAUCGUUUUCGACGAAUUGUAACAGAGUCAAACAGAGAUGGCCAACCACAGUGCCCAUGUUCCGGGAAUGGAGAACUCGUAUGUGAUCUCAUUUGUUGGAUCGAGAAAAUGCCGAUGAUGGAAAAACAGCUGUGGGAAUGACGCGUAACACAUUCUAUAUUGUUUUAAAGUUUGUCAUAAUGACUAGUUGGGCCUUUCCGACAUUAACCAUUGAUGGUUUCGUGGGAGAAAAACUGCCAACAUACUCGUUGAAUUGAUCAUUAAAACAUCCGUUCA
Pecten maximus is the source of this 582-nucleotide long non-coding RNA. RefSeq lists it as uncharacterized. The transcript has 4 exons. NCBI's taxonomy places the organism in Eukaryota, Metazoa, Mollusca, Bivalvia, Pectinida, Pectinidae. The record is from RefSeq and is a predicted model, not a curated record.